This 293-nucleotide non-coding RNA is filed under the name Trichobilharzia regenti. RNAcentral describes it as "Eukaryotic small subunit ribosomal RNA". It matches the Rfam family "Eukaryotic small subunit ribosomal RNA", at positions 512 to 760 of the family's 1831-position model. Lineage: Eukaryota; Metazoa; Platyhelminthes; Trematoda; Strigeidida; Schistosomatidae. The record is from Rfam by way of RNAcentral.
GAAUGAGUACAAUUUAAAUCCUUUAACGAGGACCAAUUGGAGGGCAAGUCUGGUGCCAGCAGCCUCUAUAACUCCAGCUCCAAAAGCGUAUAUUAAAGUUGCUGCAGUUAAAAAGCUCGUAGUUGAAUAGUGCAAUAGAUUUCUACAUUCAUUUUAGUUUAAUGAAGGACUGUCUUGCAUUUCCUCACUUAUUUGUGAUAUGCUUUUACGUUUGAUGUGCUUGCAGUUGACACGAUACCGCCCAAGAUAAGUGAGGGUGAUACCUUCUUGUAGAUUCCUUCCGUUGAUAGUGA